AGGGUUUGAUCAUGGCUCAGAUUGAACGCUGGCGGCAGGCUUAACACAUGCAAGUCGAGCGGUAACAGAGAGUAGCUUGCUACUUUGCUGACGAGCGGCGGACGGGUGAGUAAUGCUUGGGAAUAUGCCUUAUGGUGGGGGACAACAGUUGGAAACGACUGCUAAUACCGCAUAACGUCUACGGACCAAAGGGGGGGAUCUUCGGACCUCUCGCCAUUUGAUUAGCCCAAGUGAGAUUAGCUAGUUGGUGAGGUAAAGGCUCACCAAGGCGACGAUCUCUAGCUGGUUUGAGAGGAUGAUCAGCCACACUGGGACUGAGACACGGCCCAGACUCCUACGGGAGGCAGCAGUGGGGAAUAUUGCACAAUGGGCGCAAGCCUGAUGCAGCCAUGCCGCGUGUGUGAAGAAGGCCUUCGGGUUGUAAAGCACUUUCAGUUGUGAGGAAAGGAGUGUAGUUAAUAGCUGCAUUCUGUGACGUUAACAACAGAAGAAGCACCGGCUAACUUCGUGCCAGCAGCCGCGGUAAUACGAGGGGUGCAAGCGUUAAUCGGAAUUACUGGGCGUAAAGCGUUCGUAGGCGGUCUAUUAAGCAAGAUGUGAAAGCCCAGGGCUCAACCUUGGAACUGCAUUUUGAACUGGUAGACUAGAGUACUGUAGAGGGUGGUGGAAUUUCCAGUGUAGCGGUGAA
This 688-nucleotide ribosomal RNA is filed under the name uncultured bacterium. RNAcentral's name for it is "bacterial SSU rRNA". It matches the Rfam family "Bacterial small subunit ribosomal RNA", at positions 8 to 685 of the family's 1533-position model. The record is from RNAcentral.